This is a long non-coding RNA of Pantherophis guttatus, 775 nucleotides long. RefSeq lists it as uncharacterized. Lineage: Eukaryota; Metazoa; Chordata; Lepidosauria; Squamata; Colubridae. The record is from RefSeq and is a predicted model, not a curated record.
GCUUAGAAAAAAAUGCAGUGUUUGGAGAACUUGCCUCCCUGUUGAGAGACCAAGCUCUGGGUGUAGGAAUUCCCCAUGUAUUCCAUCAAUAUUAUGUCCAGUUAAAAUAAUCUGGGGUUGGGGCACACCAUUGUAAAAAUGCUUUACCCAAACUGCUGCCAGACAAGAGUGGGCAAGAUUGGGUUGGCAAGUUAUUCUCCAAAGCGCCUGAUGGCAGAUCCAGAAAUAAUGGGUGGAAGAUCAUUAAAGAGAGACUAAGGAGAAGGUUCCUGACAGUAAGAAGCAGUGGUGAAAUGCAGCCGGUUCUGUCCGACUUGGGCGAACUGGUAGUGCCGGUGCCAGGAGGCUCCGCCCACCCACCCGGACGUCACCACGUCCCGAUUCUGAUGCUCUGCGCACACUCCGGUAGCGAAGGUGGAGUCUGGACAACCGAAUGGAGCUAGCAGAGUGUUUGAAUGGCCGGAUGCCGUUCCUGUCGCCAAUGCGGAGUUUUGUUCAGCAGAUAAUAUUCUCAGUGUGCCCAGAGAGAGAAAUAUCUGCCUCUACCUAGGAUCGAACUCACAAGCCUCCUGACUGUGAGACGAGAGCUGCACCUCUAGGCCAUCGCACCACUCACCUUGAUACUCUUCCAAAAGACCCUGAAGAUAUUAUUUUUGCCAGCGGGCUUUGGGAAUCCCAGGGUGAUAUAGAGCCCACUGAGUAGUUUGUAUCUAAACAUUCAUUUGCAAUCAUCCGCUUUAGGCAAAUGCAUAUAAAAAUCCAUCUAUCAUAUCUG